Molecule: unclassified non-coding RNA, 21 nt
Filed under: Chlamydomonas reinhardtii
Lineage: Eukaryota; Viridiplantae; Chlorophyta; Chlorophyceae; Chlamydomonadales; Chlamydomonadaceae
Description: small RNA Cre_0108
Source: RNAcentral
AAGCAGCAGGUGCGCCUGGCG